UACGGAGGGUGCAAGCGUUGUUCGGAUUGACUGGGCGUAAAGCGCGUGUAGGCGGCUUUGCAAGUCGGGUGUGAAAGCCCUCAGCUCAACUGAGGAAGUGCGCCCGAAACUGCAGAGCUUGAGUGCCGGAGAGGGUGGCGGAAUUCCCCAAGUAGAGGUGAAAUUCGUAGAUAUGGGGAGGAACACCGGUGGCGAAGGCGGCCACCUGGACGGUAACUGACGCUGAGACGCGAAAGCGUGGGGAGCAAACAGG
Molecule: ribosomal RNA, 253 nt
Filed under: uncultured bacterium
Lineage: Bacteria
Description: partial 16S ribosomal RNA
Rfam family: Bacterial small subunit ribosomal RNA
Source: RNAcentral